UACGUAGGUGGCAAGCGUUGUCCGGAUUUAUUGGGUUUAAAGGGUGCGUAGGCGGCUUUGUAAGUCAGUGGUGAAAUAUGGCAGCUUAACUGUCAGGGUGCCAUUGAUACUGCAGAGCUUGAGUACAGAUGAGGUAGGCGGAAUUGACGGUGUAGCGGUGAAAUGCUUAGAUAUCGUCAAGAACACCUAUAGCGAAGGCAGCUUACUAGGCUGUAACUGACGCUGAGGCACGAAAGCGUGGGGAUCAAACAGG
This 253-nucleotide ribosomal RNA is filed under the name uncultured bacterium. Its description in RNAcentral is "partial 16S ribosomal RNA". It matches the Rfam family "Bacterial small subunit ribosomal RNA", at positions 524 to 776 of the family's 1533-position model. The record is from RNAcentral.